RNAcentral lists this ribosomal RNA (301 nucleotides) under uncultured bacterium. RNAcentral describes it as "partial 16S ribosomal RNA". It matches the Rfam family "Bacterial small subunit ribosomal RNA", at positions 512 to 809 of the family's 1533-position model. The record is from RNAcentral.
CAGUCGCGCGGAAUACGAAGGGUGCAAGCGUUACUCGGAAUUACUGGGCGUAAAGCGUGCGUAGGUGGUGGUUUAAGUCCGUUGUGAAAGCCCUGGGCUCAACCUGGGAAUUGCAGUGGAUACUGGGUCACUAGAGUGUGGUAGAGGAUAGUGGAAUUUCCGGUGUAGCAGUGAAAUGCGUAGAGAUCGGAAGGAACAUCUGUGGCGAAGGCGACUAUCUGGGCCAACACUGACACUGAGGCACGAAAGCGUGGGGAGCAAACAGGAUUAGAGACCCGCGUAGUCCCUGUCUCUUAUACAC